CGUAGGGCGCGAGCGUUGUCCGGAUUUAUUGGGCGUAAAGAGCUCGUAGGCGGCUCGUCGCGUCGGUUGUGAAAACCUGCAGCUUAACUGUGGGCGUGCAGCCGAUACGGGUGGGCUAGAGUUCGGUAGGGGAGACUGGAAUUCCUGGUGUAGCGGUGAAAUGCGCAGAUAUCAGGAGGAACACCGGUGGCGAAGGCGGGUCUCUGGGCCGAUACUGACGCUGAGGAGCGAAAGCGUGGGGAGCGAACAGGAUUAGAUACCCUGGUAGUCCACGCUGUAAACGUUGGGCGCUAGGUGUGGGGGGCCUCUCCGGUUCUCUGUGCCGUAGCUAACGCAUUAAGCGCCCCGCCUGGGGAGUACGGCCGCAAGGCUA
RNAcentral lists this ribosomal RNA (373 nucleotides) under uncultured organism. RNAcentral's name for it is "bacterial SSU rRNA". It matches the Rfam family "Bacterial small subunit ribosomal RNA", at positions 526 to 896 of the family's 1533-position model. The record is from RNAcentral.